This 85-nucleotide transfer RNA is filed under the name Planctomycetota bacterium. Its description in RNAcentral is "Planctomycetes bacterium (marine sediment metagenome) tRNA-Ser". It matches the Rfam family "tRNA". Rfam says of the family: Transfer RNA (tRNA) molecules are approximately 80 nucleotides in length. Their secondary structure includes four short double-helical elements and three loops (D, anti-codon, and T loops). RNAcentral also lists the same sequence under 1 other name. Lineage: Bacteria; Pseudomonadati; Planctomycetota. The record is from RNAcentral.
GGAGCAGUGGCAGAGUGGUUGAUCGCGACGGUCUUGAAAACCGUUGUGCCGAAAGGUACCGGGGGUUCGAAUCCCUCCUGCUCCG